This 497-nucleotide ribosomal RNA is filed under the name uncultured bacterium. RNAcentral's name for it is "partial 16S ribosomal RNA". It matches the Rfam family "Bacterial small subunit ribosomal RNA", at positions 28 to 507 of the family's 1533-position model. The record is from RNAcentral.
GAUGAACGCUGGCGGCGUGCCUAAUACAUGCAAGUCGAGCGAACAGACGAGGAGCUUGCUCCUCUGACGUUAGCGGCGGACGGGUGAGUAACACGUGGAUAACCUACCUAUAAGACUGGGAUAACUUCGGGAAACCGGAGCUAAUACCGGAUAAUAUAUUGAACCGCAUGGUUCAAUAGUGAAAGACGGUUUUGCUGUCACUUAUAGAUGGAUCCGCGCCGCAUUAGCUAGUUGGUAAGGUAACGGCUUACCAAGGCGACGAUGCGUAGCCGACCUGAUAGGGUGAUCGGCGACACGAGAACUGAGACACGGUCCACACUCCUGCGGGACGCAGCAUUAGGGAAUCUUCCGCAAUGGGCGAAAGCCUGACGGAGCAACGCCGCGUGAGUGAUGAAGGUCUUCGGAUCGUAAAACUCUGUUAUUAGGGAAGAACAAAUGUGUAAGUAACUAUGCACGUCUUGACGGUACCUAAUCAGAAAGCCACGGCUAACUACGUG